GGAGAGAUGUCCGAGCUGGUCUAAGGAGCACGAUUGGAAAUCGUGUAGGGGGUUUGUAGCUCCCUCGUGGGUUCGAAUCCCACUCUCUCCG
This 91-nucleotide transfer RNA is filed under the name Desulfuromonas sp. SDB. RNAcentral's name for it is "tRNA-Ser". It matches the Rfam family "tRNA". From Rfam's summary of the family: Transfer RNA (tRNA) molecules are approximately 80 nucleotides in length. Their secondary structure includes four short double-helical elements and three loops (D, anti-codon, and T loops). RNAcentral also lists the same sequence under 2 other names. Lineage: Bacteria; Pseudomonadati; Thermodesulfobacteriota; Desulfuromonadia; Desulfuromonadales; Desulfuromonadaceae. The record is from RNAcentral.